GGGUAGCUCUCCAGGAACAGGGUUGGAAUGAAAACCUACAGGAGGGUAGCUCUCCAGGAACAGGGUUGGAGUUAAAACCUACAGGAGGGUAGUAUCUCUCCAGGAACAGGGUGGGAAUGAAAACCUACAGGAGGGUAGUAUCUCUCCAGGAACAGGGUGGGAAUGAAAACCUACAGGAGGGUAGCUCUCCAGGAACAGGGUUGGAGUUAAAACCUACAGGAGGGUAGCUCUCCAGGAACAGGGUGGGAAUGAAAACCUACAGGAGGGUAGCUCUCCAGGAACAGGGUGGGAAUGAAAACCUACAGGAGGGUAGCUCUCCAGGAACAGGGUUGGAGAGAGAACCUACAGGACUGUACAGUAACUCUGUCAUUGAAUCAGUGAUUAAUGGUUAACUCCUCAUCAUCCUCCCGUUUUUACUGAGUCAUCAUCCUCCCGUUUUUACUGAGUCAUCAUCCUCACGUUUUUACUGAGUCAUCAUCCUCCCGUUUUUACUGAGUCAUCAUCCUCCAUGUUUCAUUCAUCAGAUUGUUUUACAUAGUUUUUGUUUGUGUUUAAUUGUUUCUUUUGUUGUGGAUUUCCGUUCAGAAGGGUGAGGUUCCCAUGACUUCACAGUAAUGUUUUUGGGUUUCAUCCACCAUCAUCACCCUCCGUCUAUGGAGGAUUCCGAUGGCUAUUAGAGUACAUGGCAUUAUGUCACAACGAGCAUUAUCCAGAACUACUGUAACCAUCCAGAAUCAAUGAUUAAAACAUUCCAUGUCGCACUGCCAAGUCCCGUCGUGCCUCGUUUUGGUCCUCAAUGGAGUCUGUGCUGUGUGUGUGUGUGUGUGACGAUAUGUAUGUAUGUAUAGCCUACGUCAGUGUGUGUGAGAGUGUGUAUGUUUGUUUCUGUACGUCAGUGAGUGUGUGUACUUCAGUGUGUGUGUUCUGGUGUCUUCGUCAGUCAGUCCUGAGGGCGGUCUAUAUGCCCUUCUGGUCCAGCUGUCACCUUCAGUGAAAAGCUGUUAGUGAAUAUUGUAUACAGUAUACUCUGCUAAUAGUGAAUACUGUAUACAGUAUACUCUGCUAAUAGUGAAUACUGUAUACAGUAUACUCUGCUAAUAGUGAAUACUGUAUACAGUAUACUCUGUUAAUAGUGAAUACUGUAUACAGUACACUCUACUAAUAGUGAAUACUGUAUACACCACUCUGUUAAGUGAAUACUGUAUAGAGUAUACUCUGCUAAUAGUGAAUACUGUAUACAGUACACUCUGCUAAUAGUGAAUACUGUAUACA
Long non-coding RNA from Oncorhynchus tshawytscha (Chinook salmon), 1272 nucleotides. The record is from Ensembl. NCBI's taxonomy places the organism in Eukaryota, Metazoa, Chordata, Actinopteri, Salmoniformes, Salmonidae.